Molecule: ribosomal RNA, 497 nt
Filed under: uncultured bacterium
Lineage: Bacteria
Description: partial 16S ribosomal RNA
Rfam family: Bacterial small subunit ribosomal RNA
Source: RNAcentral
GAUGAACGCUGGCGGCGUGCCUAAUACAUGCAAGUCGAGCGAACAGAUGAGGAGCUUGCUCCUCUGACGUUAGCGGCGGACGGGUGAGUAACACGUGGAUAACCUACCUAUAAGACUGGGAUAACUUCGGGAAACCGGAGCUAAUACCGGAUAAUAUAUUGAACCGCAUGGUUCAAUAGUGAAAGACGGUUUUGCUGUCACUUAUAGAUGGAUCCGCGCCGCAUUAGCUAGUUGGUAAGGUAACGGCUUACCAAGGCAACGAUGCGUAGCCGACCUGAGAGGGUGAUCCGCCACACUUGAACUGAGGCCCCGUCCAGACUCCCACGGGAGGCAGCAGUAGGGAAUCUUCCGGCAUGGGCGAAAGGCUGACGGAGCAACGCCGCGUGAGUGAAGAAGGUCUUCCGAUCGGAAAACUCUUUUAAUAGGGAAGAAAAAAUGUGUAAGUAACUAUUCACCUCUUGACGGUACCUAAUCAGAAAGCCACGGCUAACUACGUG